GACGAACGCUGGCGGCGUGCCUAAUACAUGCAAGUAGAACGCACAGUUUAUACCGUAGCUUGCUACACCAUAGACUGUGAGUUGCGAACGGGUGAGUAACGCGUAGGUAACCUGCCUGGUAGCGGGGGAUAACUAUUGGAAACGAUAGCUAAUACCGCAUAAUAUUAAUUAUUGCAUGAUAAUUAAUUGAAAGGUGCAAUUGCACCACUACCAGAUGGACCUGCGUUGUAUUAGCUAGUAGGUGAGGUAACGGCUCACCUAGGCGACGAUACAUAGCCGACCUGAGAGGGUGAUCGGCCACACUGGGACUGAGACACGGCCCAGACUCCUACGGGAGGCAGCAGUAGGGAAUCUUCGGAAAUGGACGAAAGUCUGACCGAGCAACGCCGCGGGAGUGAGGAAGGUUAUCGGAUCGUAAAGCUCAGUUGUAAGAGAAGAACGGGGGUGAGAGUGGAAAGUUCACACUGUGACGGUAUCUUACCAGAAAGGGACGGCUAACUACGUG
This 505-nucleotide ribosomal RNA is filed under the name uncultured bacterium. RNAcentral's name for it is "partial 16S ribosomal RNA". It matches the Rfam family "Bacterial small subunit ribosomal RNA", at positions 28 to 507 of the family's 1533-position model. The record is from RNAcentral.